This 1821-nucleotide ribosomal RNA is filed under the name Triticum aestivum (bread wheat). RNAcentral's name for it is "partial small subunit ribosomal RNA". Lineage: Eukaryota; Viridiplantae; Streptophyta; Magnoliopsida; Poales; Poaceae. The record is from RNAcentral.
AUGGGUCUAUCAGCAUCAGGCGCCAUGCAGUGGUGGGAUGAGUGGCAGCUGCACGUCCUCGUGCUGGGCAGCCUCUUCGUCCAGUACCUGCUCUUCUUCUCCUCCGUGGUGCGUAGGCGUGCCCUCCCGUCUUGGUUCAGGCUGUUAUUCUGGCUCGCCUACCUAGACGGCGACGCUCUCGCGAUAUACGCCCUGGCCACCCUCUUCAACCGCCACAAGCAGCAGGAGCAGCUCGCCGCCGGCCUGGAGGUGUUGUGGGCGCCCGUCCUCCUCAUCCACCUCGGGGGGCAGCACCUGAUGACCGCCUACAGCAUCGAAGACAACGAGCUAUGGAGGCGACAAGCCGUCACCAUGGUGUCACAGGUCGUGGUCGCCCUCUACGUCUUUUGCAAGUCAUGGCCUGGCGGGCCAAAGAGGUUGCUGCAGGCCGCAAUCUUGUUGUUCGUCGUCGGGAUUUUUAGAUCCAUCCAGAAGCCAUUAGCUAUGAAGAACGCCAGUAUCAGUAACAUAGUGGCUUCUUUGUCACUAUCCCGGAGUGAGCAGAACGAACUCGCGUUGUUCUGCGGAACAAUAUGCUAUUGCUCAAUGGGCCCGCGGAAGUUAUACAUAACUAAAGAAGGAGAAAGAGCGGAACAGAAGGACAUCUCGCUUGAAGAAUUUGUACAAAAAGCAACCAGUUUGCCAGAGUUGGCCAGUGAUCAAGGCAAAGCUGAAGGCAUGGCAUCACGUGAUUCAUGGGAGGUAAAUGUGUACCGGCCGCUGGUAGACAUAUCAGCUCUAUACUCUGACCGGAUAAAAAACCUACAGCUCUUUAUGGCCCUUGAUUACCAACAUGCCAAUAGUAUGUCGAGAGAACAGCUUACCAAGUUGUUUUCGUUCCUCUACACAAAACUAGCUAACAUAGUCUGUUGCUUCAUCUGCUGUCAUUUUUGGCUUCCAUUCUUGAUCUUAGCUUCUGUCAUCCUCUUCUCCACAUACCACAAAUAUUAUGACUACAACGCAACAGAUGUCAAGGUAACUUACAUCUUGUUCUGGUCGACCGCGUUGCUGGAUUUUCUAUUCCUCUUUGUCAGCGUUUCCAUCAUGGAGACAGAAACAGAUAUGGUUUCGCAACAUAACCUCUUGUCGUUCUAUGCUCGUAAGAAGCGACCCACUCUUCUUAUGAAGCUUGCCACACUUGCAUGCUGCAAAGGCUAUGUUAACAUGCAUUGUUAUAUAGAACAUGCACCAGCAACAUCCUCACUCCAAGUUGUGGAGUUGGUUCAUGGAUAUGUUAUGGAUGGUUGGAGAAGGUACAUCAAAGAUGCUGCUAGCUACAAGAGAUUCAACCUCCACAGGGGGCAGUGGGCUCUAAGGCGUCAACGUCAUCUUGGCUGGAGCUUGAAUAUGUCAUUUGAUAGAAGUGUCCUUCUCUGGCACAUCGCCACAGACAUCUGCUUUCACCACCAGAGCACAACCCCUCGCGGCCAAGAGUGCGCCGCUCGAAGCAGGGUUAUAUCCAACUACAUGGCGUACCUGCUCUCCAUUCGUUCAGAAAUGCUUAUACCCGGGUCCAGGAUCGGCAUCUUCACCAUUGCAUGUGAAGAUAUCGAGCGCAUGCUAGGUGACAAUUCUGCACUGCACGACGAAAAAGGACUUGCGCAAGGAAUUAUUUGCAGGGCGCAACAACCUCCCUUGGUUGAUAACACCAGCAUAACAGGAACAGCAUGCAGGCUUGCUAAAAUGUUGAUGGAGCUAGAAGAUGAAGUGGAGAGGUGGGAGAUGGUCCAGGGGGUAUGGGUGGAGAUGUUGUGCUACUCUGCCAGCAGGGGGUAUGAGUGA